Thozetella sp. PMI_491 is the source of this 127-nucleotide non-coding RNA. Lineage: Eukaryota; Fungi; Ascomycota; Sordariomycetes; Chaetosphaeriales; Chaetosphaeriaceae. The record is from the annotation of a GenBank genome assembly.
UCCUCGGUGGCGCAAUUGGCUAGCGCGUCGUAAGUCGCAACCUUGGCUUAGUAGUAGUUCGCACUUGCUGACCACUCCCCAGUGACUGUUAAUCAGGAGGUUGAAAGUUCGAGCCUUUCCCGAGGAG